Molecule: non-coding RNA, 1770 nt
Organism: Doryrhamphus excisus (bluestripe pipefish)
Lineage: Eukaryota; Metazoa; Chordata; Actinopteri; Syngnathiformes; Syngnathidae
Source: RefSeq, a predicted model, not a curated record
UGAGGAUACGCGGUAGAAAAUGAAUGAAUAUAAGAAUUGUAAAGCGUUGUGUUUACUGAAUCUAUGCAAGUUUCUGAGUUGCUCAUCUCUAUAUGGCUCACCAUGCAUAAAUGAAGAAGACAUAGAAGGGCGAAGACACAGCCAAAGUCAACCACCUCCAGUCCCGAACAAACCAAACUUACUGAGUGAGAAGGUGUUGAGGCCCACGCCUGACAGAGCCAUUCCGCAGACAAAGCGACACAGGCAGAAGACGGGGAAGGAUGUGGCGAAAGCAGCACACGUCCCAGACACCGCCAUCAGCAAGUGAGCAAUGAGCAGCAGAAUGCGUCGGCCAAAUCUAACAUGGAGAGUCAGCAUAGAUCACUAUCGACUUCCCAAGACAAUGGAUCCCACAAGAACACCACCCAUGUAGACGGUUUGGCCCAUUUGCUUCAAAGAGCGUAGAUCACACACCAAAUCCCACUGAACACACAAUAUAACACACAACUUUUAAGAACCCCUGUAAUAAUCCAAUCCAGGCAAGAACUGUAGCCAUACCUCAUUUAUGAUAGUGGAGGUCAUUUCAGUCAUAUUAUAGGACCAUCCAUCAGUACAUUCCUGCAAGCCAACGUCAGCAUCAAAUUCUUCCUGCUCCUGUGAUUUUAAGGUACCAUUCCUCCCCAGAAGGUGCCACUGUGGAGCAGCGUAGCGUCGACAACGCUGAUGCUUGCCAGCUUGAUCCAACGGCACUGUGAUUGCCAGCGCUUCUUGUGGGGUGAGCUGGUAUCGAGAGAGAUUUGCGUGCGCCCUGCAGUAGUGAGGAGGCACGGCCGCCACAAAGUUCUGCAGCAGGUACCACAAAAGGAUACGAGUGAUGGCAACAAGGAGAAAGGUGAUGACACCAAUAGGAAACUAGAAACUCACACAGAACUUUUGAGUGACACAUCACUAUUUAGUGAUGUUUGUGGUACAUGGACUUUCAUUUAAGGGAAGAUCCUGAUGCUGAUAUAACAAUACUAAUAAUAAGUAAAAGGAAGAGGCUGACCUUGGAACUGAAAUAUGGUCUAAGAUGUAUUCCCAAGCAACAGCACGGUUCCUGGUGCUGAUUCCAUUUUCAUCUAUGCUGGAAGCACUUACCUGCAGAAAUCCAGAGGAAUGCUGUCUCAGUGUCCCAACACCUUAAAAUCACUCACAGCCACAUCAAGUCAAGUAAAAUAGCUGAAAGGGCCAAAACAAUGAAAAGGAAGUUGCUGCUGCAUGUUCAUGCAAAUAAUCUGCUUUCAAAUUUUCUCCCCCUGAACUUUGGAUUAUUGAAAAUGCUAUGGAGGGCGGCUGCACGGGGUAUUAGCAGCUCACUCGGUUAACACUGAGGUAUAAUGCAGAGACUUAGUUUAGGAGCAAAGUCUCAAAGAGGGAUCCAGUGGGCAGAUACUGCAUGUUAGUUUGGCCCAUUCCCACUCCAUGCUCCUCAUUGGUUACUUAAUGUGUGUGUGUGUGUGUGCACAAAAAACAUUGUCUUGAAAUGUAUUAUUUAUCAUUGAUUCCACCAAUAAAAUGCCUUUUUAAUCAUGUAAUGUUUUAAUAGGAAAAGAGAUACCAACUAAAUAUAUUUCUCACUGUAAUAGAUAACUGAGGACUAUUUGGAAAAACUGACAUGUCAAAUAUGUGCAAAUCUGCAUAAUAUUAACCGUCAUUUUUGUAGAUAAACGUUUUUGACUUUUUGUCCUGCUAAAUAGUUCUGAGGAAUGCAUGCACUUGUGUAAUGAUCAGCAUGAGAUGUCAGGCUGAAUA